AUCUUGAGAUGGCCAUUGCCUACUGGAAUCUUAUUUUUACUGGUUGCUUCAAAUUUUUGGACUUGUGGUGUGAAUUUUUAAAAUCUCAUUAUAAAAGAGCUGGCAAUACCCAAAGACACUUGGAACCUUCUGCUAAAGUUUUCAAAUACAAUUGAUGACACCAUGAGCAAUUAUGAUGAAGAUGGUAGGUCUAUACUGUAUAAAUUGUAAUGUUCUCCUCUUUAAAUAAUUUGUAUUUUGUACAGCACUUUAAUGUAUGGCAGCUUUAUUUCUUUGUAAA
Amphimedon queenslandica is the source of this 280-nucleotide long non-coding RNA. RefSeq lists it as uncharacterized. NCBI's taxonomy places the organism in Eukaryota, Metazoa, Porifera, Demospongiae, Haplosclerida, Niphatidae. The transcript has 2 exons. The record is from RefSeq and is a predicted model, not a curated record.